CCUACGGGUGGCAGCAGUGAGGAAUAUUGGUCAAUGGACGUAAGCCUGAACCAGCCAUGCCGCGUGCGGGAUGAAGGUUCUAUGGGUCGUAAACCGCUUUUAUACGGGAAUAAAGGGUGGGACGUGUCCUGGUCUGUAUGUACCUUAUGAAUAAGGAUCGGCUAACUCCGUGCCAGCAGCCGCGGUAAUACGGAGGAUUCGAGCGUUAUCCGGAUUUAUUGGGUUUAAAGGGUGCGUAGGCGGCCGUAUAAGUCAGCGGUGAAAUCCUGUGGCUCAACCUCAGAAUUGCCGUUGAAACUGGGAGGCUAGAGAGUGUUUGAGGCAGGCGGAAUGCGUGGUGUAGCGGUGAAAUGCUUAGAGAUCACGCAGAACCCCGAUUGCGAAGGCAGCCUGCCAAGCCAUGUCUGACGCUGAUGCACGAAAGCGUGGGGAUCAAACAGGAUUAGAUACCCGGGUAGUC
RNAcentral lists this ribosomal RNA (460 nucleotides) under uncultured bacterium. RNAcentral describes it as "partial 16S ribosomal RNA". It matches the Rfam family "Bacterial small subunit ribosomal RNA", at positions 338 to 795 of the family's 1533-position model. The record is from RNAcentral.